This 252-nucleotide ribosomal RNA is filed under the name uncultured Gardnerella sp. Its description in RNAcentral is "partial 16S ribosomal RNA". It matches the Rfam family "Bacterial small subunit ribosomal RNA", at positions 103 to 354 of the family's 1533-position model. Lineage: Bacteria; Bacillati; Actinomycetota; Actinomycetes; Bifidobacteriales; Bifidobacteriaceae. The record is from RNAcentral.
CGGGUGAGUAAUGCGUGACCAACCUGCCCCAUGCUCCAGAAUAGCUCUUGGAAACGGGUGGUAAUGCUGGAUGCUCCAACUUGACGCAUGUCUUGUUGGGAAAGUGUUUAGUGGCAUGGGAUGGGGUCGCGUCCUAUCAGCUUGUAGGCGGGGUAAUGGCCCACCUAGGCUUCGACGGGUAGCCGGCCUGAGAGGGCGGACGGCCACAUUGGGACUGAGACACGGCCCAGACUCCUACGGGAGGCAGCAGGA